Cucumis melo (muskmelon) is the source of this 792-nucleotide long non-coding RNA. RefSeq lists it as uncharacterized. The record is from RefSeq and is a predicted model, not a curated record. The transcript is spliced from 2 exons. NCBI's taxonomy places the organism in Eukaryota, Viridiplantae, Streptophyta, Magnoliopsida, Cucurbitales, Cucurbitaceae.
UUCCCAAUAUCAAGCCCUAAUUUCUAAACCUCCCGCUCACGCCCACCUCCUUCUCACGCUGCGACCUGUCAUGCCUACCUCCCGCUCACGCCGCAACUUGUCUCUGUCUCUCAACCGCCAACGCCGGUGACUAUUGCAACGCACCGCCGAUCACCCAACUGAGCGUCGACCGAAGUUGCUUGCCAACGCCGAGGAUGAUGGUAUUGAGUCCAUCUCCAUCUUAGGUUGAGAAUCGGGGGUGAACAAAGUAGCAUUUGAAGAGCUUGGUGUAUCUUCUUCACCAGUCACUUGAUCUGUGUUCUUGGUGUUUCUCCAUCUUCUCCAAUUUGUUAUUAAUCUGUCCAACCUUGGUGCAAUUCCCAUUCCUACAAGUGGUAAGAUCAUAAGGAAGUUCUACUUCAACCCAUCCGUUUUAAUUAAUCUGUUAUUAAUUUGUCCAACAUUGGCCACUUGUUUGAAUGCUCUUGGAACUUCCAAAAUCUAUCCGUUUUUAGCUCGAACUUUCGAUCAAAUUGUUGAAGAUGAUGAUGUGGGCAAUAUCAGUUGAUUGAUCCUAAAACUUUUGAGGUGGUUUCAAAGAUAACCCAGAUGAGAAUUAACAAAUGGAGCAUAAUUUUGGUAGCUGAAAAAGAAAGUAAAACUUUUGUGCUAUGUGGUGUCCCAUAUGGACCAUAGCAGAAAAAGGAAGGAUCAUAAACUACUCGAAAAGGGGUUUAAAUGUAAUAAAAAAUUUAAGGGAUGAUUUUGUGUGCGGAAGGAAUCAAGUAAUAUAUAUAUUUUUUUGCUAUUCAA